GGGGAUUUAGCUCAGUGGUUCAAGCACUUGCCUGGUAAGCGAGAGAGCAUGAUUUCGAUCCCCA
RNAcentral lists this transfer RNA (64 nucleotides) under Cavia porcellus (domestic guinea pig). It matches the Rfam family "tRNA", at positions 1 to 62 of the family's 71-position model. Rfam says of the family: Transfer RNA (tRNA) molecules are approximately 80 nucleotides in length. Their secondary structure includes four short double-helical elements and three loops (D, anti-codon, and T loops). Lineage: Eukaryota; Metazoa; Chordata; Mammalia; Rodentia; Caviidae. The record is from Rfam by way of RNAcentral.